This 347-nucleotide unclassified non-coding RNA is filed under the name Cryptanthus ruthae. Its description in RNAcentral is "partial 26S-18S rRNA external transcribed spacer". The record is from RNAcentral. Lineage: Eukaryota; Viridiplantae; Streptophyta; Magnoliopsida; Poales; Bromeliaceae.
GUGGCACAAGUGGGCGUUUCGACGGCUACUCGAACAAGACCAUGUCCACACAUGAGCAAUCACGAAUUGGUGUGUCCCACGGGCUCCUUGCCUCUCGCAAUCAACCACCGAAGAGGCCAUCCUUCUUAGUCCUAUGCUCAUUCGUAUCUUUAGGCCAUUCUUUUUAGUCCAGUGCAUUGCGUAUGCCAUAUACCCGGCUCUGCAGGAAGUCAACGCAAGCUCUCGCGAAUGCAGCAGGCUUUGGGAAGUCAUUAAGCCACCCUCGUCGAGACAACAGUCGAUCCACCGAUGGGCCAACUGCGCUCCCUGCGGGCGGUCAGUCGGGUGCCUUGACAGCAUCGGCAUCG